UAGGGAAUCUUCGGCAAUGGGGGGAACCCUGACCGAGCAACGCCGCGUGAGUGAAGAAGGUUUUCGGAUCGUAAAGCUCUGUUGUUAAGGAAGAACGAGUGUGAGAAUGGAAAGUUCAUACUGUGACGGUACUUAACCAGAAAGGGACGGCUAACUACGUGCCAGCAGCCGCGGUAAUACGUAGGUCCCGAGCGCUGUCCGGAUUUAUUGGGCGUAAAGCGAGCGCAGGCGGUUAGAUAAGUCUGAAGUUAAAGGCAGUGGCUCAACCAUUGUAGGCUUUGGAAACUGUUUAACUUGAGUGCAGAAGGGGAGAGUGGAAUUCCAUGUGUAGCGGUGAAAUGCGUAGAUAUAUGGAGGAACACCGGUGGCGAAAGCGGCUCUCUGGUCUGUAACUGACGCUGAGGCUCGAAAGCGUGGGGAGCGAACAGGAUUAGAUACCCUGGUAGUCCACGCCGUAAACGAUGAGUGCUAGGUGUUAGGUCCUUUCCGGGACUUAGUGCCGCAGCUAACGCAUUAAGCACUCCGCCUGGGGAGUACGACCGCAAGGUUG
This 550-nucleotide ribosomal RNA is filed under the name uncultured bacterium. RNAcentral's name for it is "bacterial SSU rRNA". It matches the Rfam family "Bacterial small subunit ribosomal RNA", at positions 355 to 896 of the family's 1533-position model. The record is from RNAcentral.